GUUACAUGGUCUUAUUGAGAGUGAAACGGUUCAGAAAAACACUGAUAUGGUAGUAUCAGAUGUGCAGCCUAGUGAAAUUGAAAAUGAAGUGGAGAAUGAAGUGUAAAAUGCCGAUCCAGAGAUAUCUGGUGUUUUAUCUGAAGAUCAUCAACUGGCGGAUAUAUUAACAAAACCACUCCCAGCUCCACGCUUCGCACAACUAAGACAGCGUCUUGGCUUAACCGAUUGAUGGAUGCAGACGACAAUUUUUUUUAUAUACUACAUAAAAGUUGAAGACAUAAUUUAAUUUAUCAUUUAAAAGAAUAAUUUUUUGAAACUAUGUUAUUGAAUUUAAAAUCUGUUAUAUUUUCUAGUUAUUAAGUUUGGAAACAGAAGAUAUUCCUAAUUACUUUAUAAUUUUCAAAUUUAUAAGAUUACUUCCUGAAAUUGCCUUUAAUUGUUUUGUAUGUUAAUUUUGCAUCACAUCAUUUUGUCAUUUUGAAUAUUCAUUUUUCUUUGUAUUAAUUUUAAGAUUGACCUAAUUGGGUUUUACUGGGUUUCCCCAAUUCAAGCAACAAAUGUUGGGUCAAUGUGCACUCCCAGAAAUAUCUUGUCUUGCCAAUUCAAAUUUCAAAUUUUGUAUUAAACUUUAAAUUUAUAAAUCAUGAGCAUCAGACUUUUGAGGAGGUGUGUUGGAAUAUGACAUUACUUCAUAUCGAUAAGAAUAUCGUAUAAGCAAAAGUAUUCUGCUCACUACUGGUAACACUAAUAUCGUUUUGGUUCCGAUGAGCUGGUUCAGCUCUCACUUAUUCCGCAUAAUUUUGAAGUGACAAGACGUGAUCCAAGGAACUUAAAAUAUAUAUCUAAAACUAUA
Molecule: non-coding RNA, 853 nt
Organism: Drosophila suzukii
Lineage: Eukaryota; Metazoa; Arthropoda; Insecta; Diptera; Drosophilidae
Source: RefSeq, a predicted model, not a curated record